RNAcentral lists this ribosomal RNA (440 nucleotides) under uncultured bacterium. Its description in RNAcentral is "partial 16S ribosomal RNA". It matches the Rfam family "Bacterial small subunit ribosomal RNA", at positions 338 to 795 of the family's 1533-position model. The record is from RNAcentral.
CCUACGGGUGGCUGCAGUGGGGAAUAUUGCACAAUGGGGGAAACCCUGAUGCAGCAACGCCGCGUGAGUGAAGAAGUAUCUCGGUAUGUAAAGCUCUAUCAGCAGGGAAGAAAAUGACGGUACCUGACUAAGAAGCCCCGGCUAACUACGUGCCAGCAGCCGCGGUAAUACGCAGGGGGCAAGCGUUAUCCGGAUUUACUGGGUGUAAAGGGAGCGUAGACGGUGUGGCAAGUCUGAAGUGAAAGCCCGGGGCUCAACCCCGGGACUGCUUUGGAAACUGUCAUGCUGGAGAGCUGGAGAGGUAAGCGGAAUGCCUAGUGUAGCGGUGAAAUGCGUAGAUAUUAGGCGGAACACCAGUGGCGAAGGCGGCUUACUGGACAGUAUCUGACGUUGAGGCUCGAAAGCGUGGGGAGCAAACAGGAUUAGAUACCCGAGUAGUC